RNAcentral lists this unclassified non-coding RNA (2771 nucleotides) under Hevea brasiliensis (rubber tree). The record is from RNAcentral. Lineage: Eukaryota; Viridiplantae; Streptophyta; Magnoliopsida; Malpighiales; Euphorbiaceae.
GAGAAGAAACAAAUAGCUCAGAUGAUAUAGCACGAUAUAUAAAAUUCAUUAGCUUCAGAUUGAAGUAAAAUAAAGAGAGAGAACGCCAAAUAUAACUAAAUUAUAGAAUUUCCGGACAAAGUUUGACUGCCAAUAUCAUUCUGAUGCUAAUUAAGUACAAAGAAGCCUCUAUGGCAAUUCAUGAAAUUACUCUAGACGAAAAACGAAGUUGCAAAUUUGCCACUUUGAAAACUGAAACGAAAAGAAGCUAUAGCUACUUAGGGAACUAAUAUUGAAGACUACUUGCCCAACAUAAUUGCAUAUUUUCUUUACGGUCCUUACCUUGAACAUAUGACAACAAAUUUUCCCCAUUAUUUUUCUGGUUCUUUCGUAGUGGAGGCAGGGGCAGAUUUAUGGCCUUUUGCACGACUUUCACCUUUGCUCUUAACCAAAUAAGCUAGAACUUCCAAUGUCAUGGUUUGUGUAUUUUGAACCCAAAUACUCUUGGAACAUAACUCUGUGAUGGCUUUUGAGGCUUGAGGUGCCCGUACGUCAUCAAGAACAGGUGAGGAAAUGUUGUUCCAAAGUAGGCUCCAUCAAUGUCUAAAUAAAGUUGAGGAAACUUUAAGAAAUAUUAAAGCAUAGCCAGGACAUAGAGUGGGCCAUAAACAUGAGAACAUGGAGCAUAAAACAUGAAGUAGGUCAGUUGAUAAAACACCAUAACACACUUUAUAAUACUUGAUACUUCCAACCACCAUCUAACCUUUAACAGUUUCCAUUACACAAGACAAUGUGAGGUGAUUCCCCAAAUUAUAUCUCCAUCCCAAAUUAAUUACUUCUCUAUCAUACCAUUUUUAUAUGUCAGAAUAAGUUUGUUCAAUCUAAGCAAAUUAUUUGUGCACUUCUUAGAACUGCUACUACAACAAUAUUUGAGAACAAGAAAAAAAAGGACAGUUUGGAUCUUCACACAGUUUAUCUUGGGAUCCAAGUUCCAAGAUAACAGCUAGGUUUUAUGCAUCCACCAAUAUUUUGAAAGAAAGGUAACCAGAGCUACAUCUUCUGUGCCUUUUUGCAAGGCUGCGAAUAAGCCAACUCAAAUAUUUGUGCGAGCACAGCACAAUACAAUGUUCCAGCUUUGAAUAAGGCCCCAGCUGAAGCUCAACUCAGACCAUAAAUAGAAUAUAUAUAAAAAACAAAUAACAAUACAUCAUAAUAUGCAAUUAUGUAUCCUAAGCUUUCUAAAAAGUUCAUGAGUCUGAGCUAGAGCAUGUUUAGAAAAAAUUGACUUUUAAUUGGGUUUUGAGCUCAGCUAAAUGACGAGCUAGACUUGUUACAGCAGGUCUAAUAAAGCAUCACAUAGUUUAGCUAGAUGCAUAAAUCUAAAAAAUUAGAAAAAAAAAUAAAUAAAGGGAAAAAAAAAAGCCUAAAUCAUGCAUAGUUAGUAGUAAAUUUCAAAAAUUGCAAGAACAACUUUGCAAUGCAGGAAUCCAAACAUAAUGACUUUCAUACACCAAUGUAAAAGCAUUUACCAAUACCUAAAAAGAAAGAAAACUGAUAAAUUAAACAGAAAAUCAGCAGAUAAUGAAAUUAAAAUAAACAUGUUAAGAACCCCAAGGACAAGACCUAAAUAUUAUAUUUCUAAAUCUUAACCAUAGUCCUCAGCCCCUUUGAAAUUGAAAAAGUUCAAAUUAGAUGGAAAAACAUAUUAUUGAAUGUCUAGGCCAAAGUGAACACCAAAGUUGCAUGUGAAAAGCCUGCUUAUGCAAGUGCAUGGCUAAGAUGAAUAUAUGCAUUAAAGAAAGUCCAAAGAAACAAAGGAUACUACCUUGGUAUUUGGAACGGGGGUAGUACACAUCUUCACAUCUGGGGCAACAUAUUUUGACAGUGCUUGACCGAGGAAUGUCUGAUUGACCAACAGGAAGGCAGGGUUGUCCACAGCAGUAAACUCGUGGGCAUCUCCCAAAGUCACAGUUCUUGUACUUGUCCAUCAUAGCUGCCAUUCCUUUGCUAGUCAAUAUAUAUCGGGCAUGAAUCAGUCCAUACAGCAUCUCUGCAGCUGACUCUACUAACUCAUGCUGUUCCUCUGUAAACAUAUCCCCAUGAGAGGAUUCAACAUCCAAAAUCAAAUCAAGUGCAUAAUCAUAAUAAGGAACUUGACUGCUUAACCCACAGAGGUUAAAGUCAUCUUGAAUGUAAUCAUCAUCAACUUCACAAAAGAAUUCAUUUCCUCGCAGAUUGCAAAACCAUGAGAUCCAAGAUGUGUCAUCCCCAUCAGAACCACUAACAUCUGACUCUUCACUGUCCGUCUCAGAUUCCUCAUCAGAGGCAUUGUUUUUGGAGAGGGGAUCCUUAUGAUCAGGAGGUUGCUUCCCCAUGAGAAGAGACUGAGACGAAAAUUCCUUGCCGUUGAUUGUUCUGGAAGUAGAGGGAGAAGAUCGCUCGAGAUGCUUAUCAAGGGCAUCGUUGAUCCGCUUCCGAGCGACAGGUCCCACCUCCGUCUUGGAGCCACCAAUCCCUCGGUCUUUAUACAUGACAAAGACGACGAUCUCCUCCUCGGCGACGAUAAGGGUUGGUGUUCAGGGAAGAAUCAUGGAUGCAUGGCGUGGAAUGGGUGAAAAUCUAGGGUUUCAUUUGGAUGGAUAGAACCAGAGAAGGUAUGGGCUUUUUCUUUUUUUUCGAUUUUUUGAGAUUUUUUCUGGGUUUUCACUGAAAUUGGAAAAUUUACACUCCUUCUUAGAGAGAGAGAGAGAGCAGAAGGGCAAGUGAUAGGGCUGAGAGGUUGAGAGAGAGCG